GACGAACGCUGGCGGCGUGCUUAACACAUGCAAGUCGAGCGGUAAGGCCCUUUCGGGGGUACGACGAGCGGCGAACGGGUGAGUAACACGUGGGUGACCUCGCCCUUACGCUCUGGGAGUAAGCCUCGGGAAACGUGGGUCUAAUACCGGAUAUGACUCCAUGACGCAUGUUGUGGGGUGGAAAGCCUUGUGCGGCUAGGGAUGGGCCCGCGGCCUAUCAGCUUGUUGGUGGGGUGAUGGCCACCGAAGGCGACGACGGGUAGCCGGCCUGAGAGGG
RNAcentral lists this ribosomal RNA (277 nucleotides) under uncultured bacterium. RNAcentral describes it as "partial 16S ribosomal RNA". It matches the Rfam family "Bacterial small subunit ribosomal RNA", at positions 28 to 300 of the family's 1533-position model. The record is from RNAcentral.